CUAUGGGGCCAAGCUUCACUCUUUCAAAAUGGAGGACUAUGUACUGAAGGAAAUGCUAUUAUAAGAAGGCAUACACAUUACAAAUGUUUUGACUCUCAAUCGCUUGAGAUCUUUUGUCACACAAGCCAUUCGGCAAAUAUUUAAAGAAGAGGGAAUUCAGACAACUUCUUCUGAAUCUUUUGCGUUCUUAGCACUAGAACACUUGGUCUACGCUAACCUACCCUUAUACUCCAACUCAGAGCUUCAACAUGCGUACUUUGACACAAAGUAUGUGAUACUAAGUGUUACAACCAACAUAGUUCACAUAUCAAAAGCAUGGAUCCCUUCAUGCAUAGCAAAACAUUCAUAAGCAUCACUCAUAUAAAUCAACAUAAACAUUAUACAUUCCAACACAUUCAUACAUAAA
RNAcentral lists this long non-coding RNA (406 nucleotides) under Malus domestica (apple). Its description in RNAcentral is "long non-coding RNA (MDOM_LNC005269)". Lineage: Eukaryota; Viridiplantae; Streptophyta; Magnoliopsida; Rosales; Rosaceae. The record is from RNAcentral.